Molecule: ribosomal RNA, 498 nt
Filed under: uncultured bacterium
Lineage: Bacteria
Description: partial 16S ribosomal RNA
Rfam family: Bacterial small subunit ribosomal RNA
Source: RNAcentral
GACGAACGCUGGCGGCGUGCCUAAUACAUGCAAGUCGAACGAGAGCGACCGGUGCUUGCACUGGUCAAUCUAGUGGCGAACGGGUGAGUAACACGUGGGUAACCUGCCCAUCAGAGGGGGAUAACAUUCGGAAACGGAUGCUAAAACCGCAUAGGUCUUCGAACCGCAUGGUUUGAAGAGGAAAAGAGGCGCAAGCUUCUGCUGAUGGAUGGACCCGCGGUGCAUUAGCUAGUUGGUGAGGUAACGGCUCACCAAGGCCGUGAUGCAUAGCCGACCUGAGAGGGUGAUCGGCCACAGUGGGACUGAGACACGGCCCAAACUCCUACGGGAGGCAGCAGUAGGGAAUCUUCCGCAAUGGACGCAAGUCUGACGGAGCAACGCCGCGUGAGUGAAGAAGGUUUUCGGAUCGUAAAACUCUGUUGUUAGAGAAGAACAAGUGCUAGAGUAACUGUUAGCGCCUUGACGGUAUCUAACCAGAAAGCCACGGCUAACUACGUG